This 253-nucleotide ribosomal RNA is filed under the name uncultured bacterium. RNAcentral describes it as "partial 16S ribosomal RNA". It matches the Rfam family "Bacterial small subunit ribosomal RNA", at positions 524 to 776 of the family's 1533-position model. The record is from RNAcentral.
UACAGAGGUCUCAAGCGUUAUCCGGAUUCAUUGGGUUUAAAGGGCGCGUAGGCGGCUUGCCAAGUCAGGGGUGAAAUCCUCCGGCUUAACCGGAGAAGUGCUUUUGAUACUGGCGAGCUUGAGGGAGGUAGGGGCAGGCGGAACUUCCGGUGGAGCGGUGAAAUGCGUAGAUAUCGGAAGGAACGCCGGUGGCGAAAGCGGCCUGCUGGACCUCUUCUGACGCUGAGGCGCGAAAGCCAGGGGAGCGAACGGG